AUCGCUUCCCGGCCUUUGGCUAAGAUCAAGUGUAGUAUCUCUUCUUAUCAGUUUAAUAUCUGAUAUGUCCUCUAUCCAAGGAUAUUAUAUUAAACUAGAGGCCUGAUGCACGAAAUUCAUGCAUGGGUAGGGUCCCUAGGCCUGGCUGGCAAUCAGGGCCAAUCUGUG
Molecule: small nuclear RNA, 168 nt
Filed under: Myotis lucifugus (little brown bat)
Lineage: Eukaryota; Metazoa; Chordata; Mammalia; Chiroptera; Vespertilionidae
Description: U2 spliceosomal RNA (ENSMLUG00000021034.2)
Rfam family: U2 spliceosomal RNA (bases 1-120)
About the family: U2 is a small nuclear RNA (snRNA) component of the spliceosome (involved in pre-mRNA splicing). Complementary binding between U2 snRNA (in an area lying towards the 5' end but 3' to hairpin I) and the branchpoint sequence (BPS) of the intron results the bulging out of an unpaired adenosine, on the BPS, which initiates a nucleophilic attack at the intronic 5' splice site, thus starting the first of two transesterification reactions that mediate splicing.
Source: RNAcentral